GGGAUAUUGCACAAUGGGCGCAAGCCUGAUGCAGCAACGCCGCGUGAAUGAAGACGGUCUUCGGAUUGUAAAGUUCUGUUCUUAGUGAAGAUAAUGACGGUAGCUAAGGAGCAAGCCACGGCUAACUACGUGCCAGCAGCCGCGGUAAUACGUAGGUGGCAAGCGUUGUCCGGAUUUACUGGGUGUAAAGGGAGCGCAGGCGGGGAUUCAAGUUGGAUGUGAAAUGUCACGGCUUAACCGUGGAACUGCAUCCAAAACUGAAUUUCUUGAGUGGAGUAGAGGCAAGCGGAAUUCCGAGUGUAGCGGUGAAAUGCGUAGAUAUUCGGAGGAACACCAGUGGCGAAGGCGGCUUGCUGGGCUCUAACUGACGCUGAGGCUCGAAAGUGUGGGGAGCAAACA
Molecule: ribosomal RNA, 399 nt
Filed under: uncultured bacterium
Lineage: Bacteria
Description: bacterial SSU rRNA
Rfam family: Bacterial small subunit ribosomal RNA
Source: RNAcentral